Molecule: ribosomal RNA, 441 nt
Filed under: uncultured bacterium
Lineage: Bacteria
Description: partial 16S ribosomal RNA
Rfam family: Bacterial small subunit ribosomal RNA
Source: RNAcentral
CCUACGGGUGGCAGCAGUGGGGAAUAUUGCACAAUGGGGGAAACCCUGAUGCAGCAACGCCGCGUGAAGGAAGACGGUUUUCGGAUUGUAAACUUCUGUUCUUAGUGAAGAAUAAUGACGGUAGCUAAGGAGCAAGCCACGGCUAACUACGUGCCAGGAGCCGCGGUAAUUCGCAGGUGGCAAGCGGUGUCCGGAAUUACUGGGUGUAACGGGAGCGCAGGCGGGUAGCCAAGUCAGCUGUGAAAACUACGGGCUUAACUUGUAGCGUGCAGUUGAAACUGGUGUUCUUGAGUGAAGUAGAGGUUGGCGGAAUUCGGAGUGUAGCGGUGAAAUGCGUAGAUAUUCGGAGGAACACCGAUGGCGAAGGCAGCCAACUGGGCUUUAACUGACGCUGAGGCUCGAAAGUGUGGGUAUCGAACAGGAUUAGAUACCCUUGUAGUC